CAGGAGAGAGGACAAAUGUGUACAAAUACUCCUUCUUCCCUAGUGCUAUUAGAGCAUGGAAUGAGUUGCCUGAGCCAGCCAGGAAAACCAAUGACUUCACAGAAUUUAAGUCAUUGGUUAACAUGCUUGACUCGUAUUAUGUUUUCAUCUUCUUUUUUGAAGUAAUGUCUGUAUUUUAUAAGAUAAGAUAAGAGGCAGGUCCAUUCUUUUACACUAGUCAGUUAAUUAUUGUUUU
Non-coding RNA from Biomphalaria pfeifferi, 235 nucleotides. Lineage: Eukaryota; Metazoa; Mollusca; Gastropoda; Planorbidae. The record is from the annotation of a GenBank genome assembly.